Pygocentrus nattereri (red-bellied piranha) is the source of this 815-nucleotide long non-coding RNA. RefSeq lists it as uncharacterized. The record is from RefSeq and is a predicted model, not a curated record. The transcript is spliced from 3 exons. NCBI's taxonomy places the organism in Eukaryota, Metazoa, Chordata, Actinopteri, Characiformes, Serrasalmidae.
CUCCGCUGACGCCGAGCUGACGGGACCGACAACGGCGUUCAUGAAGAACAAGCCCAUUUUCAGCGCUGUAUAGUCGGUCUCCCACAUCCCACGCUUUGUCGUAGCUGUCGACACAUCUGCAGCGCGAUGGACUCACACCCACUUUGAUUUCCAAGAUGUAUCUUUCCUUCCAUCUUUGGACUCUUGCUCCUUAGGCACUGCUCUCAUUCAGAACAGAGAAGUCAAUGGAUUCUUACAUCCCGGCUUGACAAGUUAGGAGGAUACAAGCUAAUCCCCUUAAUCUGUCUAUUCUCCCGUGCAGUGCCAAAGGGGGAGUGGGACCUGGCGCAAGUAAUCCUAUAGAAAAAACAAUAGGAUUAGUCCCUGACUCUUGGAGUGACAAUCAGGUAUCUACUGACUGAUUUGCAAAGUAGGCUUGAGUUUCUUCAAAUUUGCUUUUUUUCCCCCCUCCUCUGGGUAAAGGGUGCCUUUCACUAAGUGCUGGUGGGAUUCUAUGAGGAGAAAUGCUGGAGGUCUGUAUGAAAGGCAUGUAUUCUUCAGGUCCAGUGCCAGCAGAUGACUGACAGGCCCUUGCCUUCUCCCACAGCAGAGAAGGUGGAGAGGUUGGGGAGCAUGGUGGGCUCAGGCUGGCCCCACCUCUUUACCCUCUGAUUCAACCCUAUUAUAAUUCGAAUCGCAUUGCCUUUAAAGUGAGGACUUUGACAGACAGAUCAAACUGCUUAGCUUUUUUUUUGCAUAGCAAAUGAAGUUGGUUGAAUGGGCCAGAAAAUUAAGAGAGAUUAAAAAUGCACAAAUGUGUUGUGCCCUUUUUUCUC